RNAcentral lists this ribosomal RNA (503 nucleotides) under uncultured bacterium. RNAcentral's name for it is "bacterial SSU rRNA". It matches the Rfam family "Bacterial small subunit ribosomal RNA", at positions 24 to 518 of the family's 1533-position model. The record is from RNAcentral.
UCAGGAUGAACGCUAGCUACAGGCUUAACACAUGCAAGUCGAGGGGCAGCAUUGGAGUAGCAAUACUUCAGAUGGCGACCGGCGCACGGGUGAGUAACACGUAUCCAACCUGCCGCUUACUCGGGGAUAGCCUUUCGAAAGAAAGAUUAAUACCCGAUGGUAUAAAGAGUUCGCAUGUUCUCUUUAUUAAAGAAUUUCGGUAAGCGAUGGGGAUGCGUUCCAUUAGAUAGUUGGCGGGGUAACGGCCCACCAAGUCUACGAUGGAUAGGGGUUCUGAGAGGAAGGUCCCCCACAUUGGAACUGAGACACGGUCCAAACUCCUACGGGAGGCAGCAGUGAGGAAUAUUGGUCAAUGGGCGGGAGCCUGAACCAGCCAAAGUCGCGUGAAGGAAGACUGCCCUAUGGGUUGUAAACUUCUUUUAUAAGGGAAUAAAGUGAGGGACGUGUCCCUUUUUGUAUGUACCUUAUGAAUAAGGAUCGGCUAACUCCGUGCCAGCAGCCGC